This 69-nucleotide transfer RNA is filed under the name Trachipterus trachypterus (ribbon fish). Its description in RNAcentral is "tRNA-Met". It matches the Rfam family "tRNA". From Rfam's summary of the family: Transfer RNA (tRNA) molecules are approximately 80 nucleotides in length. The record is from RNAcentral. Lineage: Eukaryota; Metazoa; Chordata; Actinopteri; Lampriformes; Trachipteridae.
AGUAAAGUCAGCUAAAUAAGCUCUUGGGCCCAUACCCCAAAUAUGAUGGUUAAAGUCCCUCCUUUACUA